Molecule: ribosomal RNA, 475 nt
Filed under: Paenibacillus campinasensis
Lineage: Bacteria; Bacillati; Bacillota; Bacilli; Caryophanales; Paenibacillaceae
Description: bacterial SSU rRNA
Rfam family: Bacterial small subunit ribosomal RNA
Source: RNAcentral
UGCCUAAUACAUGCAAGUCGAGCGGAAUCGAUGGAGUGCUUGCACUCCUGAGAUUUAGCGGCGGACGGGUGAGUAACACGUAGGCAACCUGCCCUCAAGACUGGGAUAACUACCGGAAACGGUAGCUAAUACCAGAUAGGAUAUUUGGCUGCAUGGCCGAAUAUGGAAAGGCGGAGCAAUCUGUCACUUGAGGAUGGGCCUGCGGCGCAUUAGCUAGUUGGUGGGGUAAUGGCCUACCAAGGCGACGAUGCGUAGCCGACCUGAGAGGGUGAACGGCCACACUGGGACUGAGACACGGCCCAGACUCCUACGGGAGGCAGCAGUAGGGAAUCUUCCGCAAUGGACGAAAGUCUGACGGAGCAACGCCGCGUGAGUGAUGAAGGUUUUCGGAUCGUAAAGCUCUGUUGCCAGGGAAGAACGCCAGAGAGAGUANUUGCUCUUUGGGUGACGGUACYUGAGAAGAAAGCCCCGGCUA